This 257-nucleotide unclassified non-coding RNA is filed under the name fungal sp. RNAcentral's name for it is "partial internal transcribed spacer region". The stretch from base 1 to 46 matches the Rfam family "Eukaryotic small subunit ribosomal RNA", at positions 1786 to 1831 of the family's 1831-position model. The record is from RNAcentral. Lineage: Eukaryota; Fungi.
AAGUCGUAACAAGGUUUCCGUAGGUGAACCUGCGGAAGGAUCAUUACUAAUUCAAAAUUAAAUGGUCUAGAAGUUAUCCGAAAGGUUGCUUCUAGUUCCAGAACACCUUGUGAACCGUAUUUAACUGCUUGCCAGUUGCUCUUUCUUUUAGUUAGGCGCUGGCAACGGUAACAAUAAACACUUAACGUUUGUUAGUACAACUUGCUAGUUGAAAAGCUAAGCAUUAACAACUUUUAACAAUGGAUCUCUUGGCUCUU